Anas platyrhynchos (mallard) is the source of this 1719-nucleotide non-coding RNA. Lineage: Eukaryota; Metazoa; Chordata; Aves; Anseriformes; Anatidae. The record is from RefSeq and is a predicted model, not a curated record.
CACUGCCUUCCACAUGGGGAUCCCUAUCCCCUGGAUCCGACUCCAGGAGGCCACUGCUCGGUACCUGCUCAACGCGUGGGGACACAACAGGAGCAGAGAGGAGUGAGAAGAGCCACCAACAGGAAAGGGGCCUGGAAGGGAGGAGUCAGUUCCUGAUGGAUUUCAGCCCCAUGUGACAACACCCUAUUCCCUUCUCUGAAUUUGGCCCAGAACCAACCCAUCGGUGACAACAGAGGGGGUUAUGCUGUGGUUAAAUAUAGGAUAUAUUUAUAUAUCCUAUAAAUACGGGCUAUUUAUAAAUACAGGAUAGGCAAGGCAUCUGUAGGAGUUGUUUCUCACCUGUCGAUGCUGAGAGCACAAAGGCUGAGCACCGUGAUGCCCACCGAUGCCUUCUGGAUGAAGGGGACCAGCUUGCACACCUGCACACCGAAAGGCCAAUCCUUGGCCAAGAGCUGGAGAAGAACCACAGGGUUAACAGGGAAAGUGCCUCCGGCUUCCCGUAAUGGCAGGUGGUUGCCCACAAGGUGCAAGAAGCCCACAAGGAGCAGCUGAAAGCACUCUGAGGUUACCUCCACCGGGGCUGUGCGGUGUGCGCUCCCGGUGCUUUGCGUGGUGCUGGGAACCACUCCUUUCCCCAGGGGCUCGUGGUUGACACCUACGUGGAGGGAUGGUCCAGGCAACAGGUCCUGAACCCACACCCUGGGUGUUUUUGGGUGGACUGGAAUCCGAAAAACCACAAUGGGCUUUGGGUCGCUUUUGGGGGGUGUCGUGCUCCGAGCAGCCAGAGUCCAACAAGGAGAGCUUGUUUCAGAGCCAUGUAGGCUCAUGUCCUCACCGUGCUCUGCCCUUCUGCCAUGCCUUUGUGCAAACCCUCCUCCAAACUUUUGUGCAGUAUUAUUUGAAACUAAUGAUGUUUGGUUGCUUGAGACCAAAGGAAAGAAAGGUAAAGCCAAGAGCUCGCGUUAACAUGAACCAUCCCAUAGGUGAAGCCUCCGGUAUAAGCCAUGAGCAUGAAGAGCUGUGCCCCCCGGUUCUUGCCUGUCUUGGAUGCAGGGCUGGGUAUUCAGCCUGUGACACCUUCCUCAGGGGGGUCAUUCCUGCAGCCUCCAUCUGCUCCCACACCUUUUUAUGAAGCACAGGACCUUCCUACAGCACAGGCUUAUGAAAUAUGGCAAACAGAUCCGAAAGGGGAGGACCAUUAGACUUUACUGCCAGUCCUGUUGAAUAAAUCAGCUAUAUAACAGCUCUGUAUCCAACAUAUUGUGUAAAGCCAGCUGUAUAAAUCAAGCUGAGAUCCACGUCCUUCACCCCAUGGCAUCCCUCCAAGACCCGACCCACCAAAAUUUAACAUGGUAGGCGAGAAGGAGCCGCACAAGCCCCAGCACAUCUCGCACCACACGACUUCUGCUCCUAACGGGGGUCUGAGCCCCGCAGCCCACCUAUGCCCACCCCUCUCUGCCCCACUGCAGCGGGCAGAGCUCGGGUUCCUCUGCUUCUUCGUCACAUCUCUUCCCUCUAGCGUGGGGAGCAAUGUCUGAAAGAAGCCCCCUGUUUUGUAGGACAGCCCUGUUCCUUGUUCCUGGGUGAGUCUUUCUGCUUAGCUGGAAUAAAGCAGAUGUUUGCCUGAGGCUGGUUUGUGAGCUGUGCUGGGAGUGGUGUGCCUAGCGCACGAGAACAGCGGGUUUUGCUCGACUGAAAUAAACUUUGGGUUGUAAUGUC